Molecule: long non-coding RNA, 254 nt
Filed under: Bos indicus x Bos taurus (hybrid cattle)
Lineage: Eukaryota; Metazoa; Chordata; Mammalia; Artiodactyla; Bovidae
Description: lncRNA (ENSBIXG00005001570.1)
Source: RNAcentral
UGCAUCAAACGUUUCCUUCCUUCCUCCCAUCUUUGAUGCCUUCCUUCUUUCUUCUCCACUGUGAUAGGUGCUGUGAACCUGGUGGGAAAGAAGAGAUGUGGACAGCAGUUGUCACAGCGCAGUACAUUCUGCGCCAUCGUCCUAAAGGUGAAGAACUGAAGAUAUAAGGGGAUUGAAGAAGAACAAGUCACAAUCCAAAUCAGGUCUUCCUCUGGUAAAUUGAAAACGGUACCUCCCCUCUGUGAAUCUACCAC